AGGUAGCUUGCUACCGAUCUUAGCGGCGGACGGGUGAGUAAUGCUUAGGAAUCUGCCUAUUAGUGGGGGACAACAUUUCGAAAGGAAUGCUAAUACCGCAUACGUCCUACGGGAGAAAGCAGGGGAUCUUCGGACCUUGCGCUAAUAGAUGAGCCUAAGUCGGAUUAGCUAGUUGGUGGGGUAAAGGCCUACCAAGGCGACGAUCUGUAGCGGGUCUGAGAGGAUGAUCCGCCACACUGGGACUGAGACACGGCCCAGACUCCUACGGGAGGCAGCAGUGGGGAAUAUUGGACAAUGGGCGCAAGCCUGAUCCAGCCAUGCCGCGUGUGUGAAGAAGGCCUUAUGGUUGUAAAGCACUUUAAGCGAGGAGGAGGCUACUUUAGUUAAUACCUAGAGAUAGUGGACGUUACUCGCAGAAUAAGCACCGGCUAACUCUGUGCCAGCAGCCGCGGUAAUACAGAGGGUGCAAGCGUUAAUCGGAUUUACUGGGCGUAAAGCGCGCGUAGGCGGCUAAUUAAGUCAAAUGUGAAAUCCCCGAGCUUAACUUGGGAAUUGCAUUCGAUACUGGUUAGCUAGAGUGUGGGAGAGGAUGGUAGAAUUCCAGGUGUAGCGGUGAAAUGCGUAGAGAUCUGGAGGAAUACCGAUGGCGAAGGCAGCCAUCUGGCCUAACACUGACGCUGAGGUGCGAAAGCAUGGGGAGCAAACAGGAUUAGAUACCCUGGUAGUCCAUGCCGUAAACGAUGUCUACUAGCCGUUGGGGCCUUUGAGGCUUUAGUGGCGCAGCUAACGCGAUAAGUAGACCGCCCGGGGGAGUACGGUCGCAAGACUAAAACUCAAAUGAAAUUGACGGGGGCCCGCACAAGCGGUGGAACAAGGUGGUUUAAUUCGAUGCAACGCGAAGAACCUUACCUGGCCUUGACAUAGUAAGAACUUUCCAGAAAAUGGGAUUGGUGCCCUUCGGGAACUUACAUACAGGUGCUGGCAGGGCUGUCGUUCAGCUCGUGU
RNAcentral lists this ribosomal RNA (1005 nucleotides) under Acinetobacter sp. RNAcentral's name for it is "bacterial SSU rRNA". It matches the Rfam family "Bacterial small subunit ribosomal RNA", at positions 73 to 1065 of the family's 1533-position model. The record is from RNAcentral. Lineage: Bacteria; Pseudomonadati; Pseudomonadota; Gammaproteobacteria; Moraxellales; Moraxellaceae.